Molecule: long non-coding RNA, 423 nt
Organism: Eptesicus fuscus (big brown bat)
Lineage: Eukaryota; Metazoa; Chordata; Mammalia; Chiroptera; Vespertilionidae
Exons: 2
Source: RefSeq, a predicted model, not a curated record
CAUCCCGGAUGUUGAGUCUGUAGUAUACAUCCCAGAUCUGGUCCCGGAUGCGGUAGGCUGACCGCCGCAUCAACAGCUGACUCAGCUCAGGGAGUUCACUGACCCAUUAGGAAAACCAGGAUGGAGUCCUCAAGUGAAAAUUGCAAACUUCUCCUUGCACCUUGGAAGAAGGCUGAAUUACCAACAUUCAGAAUUGAAUGAAUUUGGGGGAGGGGGGCAGGAAAUGAGGAAGAAGGGAGCAGGUCACAGCAGCCUGAAUGCAAAGAGCCUCAGUAAAAUGGACCUCUCCUGCUAAUCUUGGACCUGAUAUUAAGUAAGUUUAAGGGCCUCUAUUUCUUCAUCUGUAAAAUGGGAUAAAUUACACCUCAACAGGGCUGCUAUAAUGAGUCAGUGGGAUAAAUAAAGAGAACACCCAGUGUAGUA